GCCGUGUCUCAGUGUUUAAAACCUGAUGCAACAUGUGUGAACUCGUGGUUUGAGCUUUUCUAGGAAUGAUGAUGAUUGUUACAAUUACAAGUUAAUGACCUUGUGACUCAACCUUUUUCUUUUUUUCUUCUAAAGCAGCCAAACACACUGAAGGAACUUAGCAAAGAGGCCACAAGCUCAAGUUCAAACUACAGAACGUGACUGAGGAAGAGCUACUGCUGGCAGCUGAAGGAGUGUUGGAACAUAAUGUCUGACACUAAUGACUUCUGCUAGAAGAGCUUUGAUGACAGAAGGGCCUACAGGCUAAACCUCUUCCCAUGUCACAAACGCCUGACUGAAGACACGUACCUUCAAACACUGCAGUGUGAUUAGAAACAUGGAACUGGGUCUGUUUAUAAUAAUAAAGUUGUGUGCAGUGAUAA
Long non-coding RNA from Xiphophorus hellerii (green swordtail), 422 nucleotides. RefSeq lists it as uncharacterized. NCBI's taxonomy places the organism in Eukaryota, Metazoa, Chordata, Actinopteri, Cyprinodontiformes, Poeciliidae. The record is from RefSeq and is a predicted model, not a curated record. The transcript is spliced from 2 exons.